This 1211-nucleotide long non-coding RNA is filed under the name Hordeum vulgare. RNAcentral describes it as "long non-coding RNA (HVUL_LNC006858)". The record is from RNAcentral. Lineage: Eukaryota; Viridiplantae; Streptophyta; Magnoliopsida; Poales; Poaceae.
GACCAGGGCGGGCUCGGGCUCUUCCACCACCCCUUGUUGAUGAGCGACCGAGGGAAGGAGCGGAGCCACAGCCUGGGAAGGCCAGUGGGAUGCGGGAGCACGCGAGGGCGGAAGGUGGGACGGUCGACGUCGCUGUUUUGUUCGGGAUGCUCCGAUAUGGUGAUGCUCGAGCACAUGCACAUGGAAGACACGCCGCGGACCACCACCGCCUUGUGAUUGAGCGCAUCAGUGCGCGACUGGCCCAUGAAGGGUUGGUGGCAGUACUCUAAUAGAUGUAGAGUGUGGCUAUGAACUCCUCUCGCGGCUUGGCAACGACACCGGACAAAGCGUGCAUCAGGUAUGUCCUAUCUUGCCACGGUUGUUGGUAAUACAACAUUUUCUCUUGGAUACAUUUCUCAACACUUGCCCUGUCGUCCCUAACGCGGGCACUGUCCAAGCUACUCCUCUCAUGCCCCAUAUCAGCCACGACGAUGGUGUUCGUCCACCUGCAGAAGUCGCCCAAUCAUCUGUGUCACCGUGUGUUCUCUCAGGUCAGCUUCUCUCUCUCUCUCUCNNNNNNNNNNNNNNNNNNNNNNNNNNNNNNNNNNNNNNNNNAGAUCUGGAGCGCCGCAUGCCGUGUACCUCUUGUUCGUCCACCUGCAGCAAUCGCCCAAUCAUCUGUGUCACUGUGUGUUCUCUCAGGUGAGCUUCUCUCUCUCUCUCGAGUUGGUACCUCUUGUUCCCCUUCAUUCACCCGUUUUGUGAGCCUGCAGUUUGAUGUGGACGACACGCCGCGGACCACCACCGCCUUGUGAUUGAGCGCAUCAGUGCACGACUGGCCCAUGAAGGGUUGGUGGCAGUACUCUAAUAGAUGUAGAGUGUGGCUAUGAACUCCUCUCACAGCUUGGCAACGACACCGGACAAAGCGUGCAUCAGGUACGUCCUAUCUUGUCGCGGUUGUUGGUAAUACAACAUUUGCUCUUGGAUACAUUUCUCAACACUUGCCGUGUCGUCCCUAACGCGGGCACUGUCCAAGCUACUCCUCUCAUGCCCCAUAUCAUCCACGACGAUGGUGUUCGUCCACCUGCAGCAGUCGCCCAAUCAUCUGCGUCACUGUGUGUUCUCUCAAGUGAGCUUCUCUCUCUCUCGAGUUGGUACCUCUUGUUCCCCUUCAUUCACCCGUUUUGUGAGCCUGCAGUUUGAUGUGUGCACUUGUGAUUUUUUCUUUGCAU